UACCCCUCUACUUUGAAAAAUUGACCAUAUUUACCCUUCGUCAUACUUUGGGGCUAUAUAUACCCUUGCCAUUAUAAAACUUUACAUAUCUACACCUCAACUAACAGAAUAACCCAAUUCAUUUUAAAUGACCCAUUUUUUAUUUUAAAACCAAACCCGACCCGACCCAUAUUAAAAGACCAAAAAAAUACCAUUUUCUCACAUACCUAAACCCACAACACGCAUUGACCCAAACAAAUACACAAUAACAUUUUCUCACAUACAUUUCACUUCUUCUCACCCUCACAGCCUCAUCGAAAGACAUUCAAUCGAGAGAGGAGAGUUCUGGCAAUGGAAAACCUGUUUCUCAUCUAAGAUUUUCAGAUCUAUUGAGACAAUCUCUGUAAAGAUUAUCUAAAAUAGUGCUAAUUGACUUGGUAUUCCACUAUGGCGGGGAGUGGAUAAAAGAGCAAAAAAUACUAUAUUCAAGAAAGUUGGUGUGCAAAUGGGAAGGGUAUGAUUUUGAUCUCUUAUCUUUUAUAGAUAUUGUGAACGAAUACAAUGGUACAUUGGGAUUUCUUGGUGUUCAACAAGUGAUUGUGUCUUUUCCUUCUAGAAAAUACUAUGAAAUAAUAGGUGAUCAGGGAAUUAGAACAUUAUUGUCUUAUGUGAAUGAUAAAUUUGAUGUUAUAAACUUGUUUGCUGUUGAAGAUAGUGAAUUACCUAUUGAUGUUGAGAACAUAGUUAGAUUGAAAGAGUCUGUGGUAGAGGUUGAUGAAGCAGAUAGUGAAGAUAGUGAUUGCAACUCUGAUGAAACUGAUAAUGAUGGUGGUAAUGACUCUGAUUAUUCUGAUUAUGAUUUUGAGGAGUUAGAGGUUCUCGCAAAAGAAAUAAAAAGGAUAAUCAAUGACAAGUUGUCUGAAUGCAAGGAGUUACAUAGGUUAUGACUUUUAAAUAUAUAGAUGAAGCUAGAAGAUUCAUUAGCUUGCAUGCAUUAGCAAAUGACUAUAACCUAACUAUAAAAAAAAUGACUUAAAAAGAUUUAGGGUUGUUUGUCAGAAAGUGUGCAACUUUGUUUGCCUAAUUUCUGGUGAGAAAAUUGUCCUAGUGUUAGUGUGAAAACAUUAACAGAAAACCAUAAAUGUGAUGAUCCAUAUGGUAACUAUAAGGUUUCAGCAGCUACACUUUCUUAUUACUUCAAGGAAAAGUUGCAAGCUAACCCCAAAUAUAAGAUCAAAGACAUGAGAGUUGAUCUCAAAACUUCAUUCAAUAUUAAUUCUUCUUUUGGGAAGUGUAAGAAAGCUAAAAUGAUGAUUUUGGAAAAAAUGGAAGGCAGUUUUUGUGAUGACUAUAAAAAGCUUGUUGGAUAUACAAAUGUUCUAUUGGAGAGUAAUAUAGGGAGUGAUGUUAGCCUUAAGGUUUUACUAGCUGAAGGAAAAAGAUAGUUUUUGAGAAUGUAUAUCUGUUUUGAUGCACUGAAGAAGGGGUUUAAAUCUGGUUUGAGACAUUUCAUUGGAUUAGAUAGAACUUUUUUGAAAGGUAAAGCCAAAGGUCAACUCUUAUGUGCUGUUGGUCAAGACUUAAUGAACCAUAUUUAUCCUAUUGCUUGGGCCAUCGUGGAAAAAGAAUUCAAAGCUUCUUGGCUUUGGUUUGUGGAAUUGCUUCAGCAGUCUUUAAGCCUCAACAAUGGAGAAUGGGUCACAUAAAUCUCAGAUCUGCAAAAGGGACUGCAUGAAGCAGUCAAAAUUGUUCUACCUAGUACAAUGCAUAGCUACUAUAUGAGACACGUAGAGGCUAAUUGGAGAAGACAUGCAAAAAUAUCUAAAUAAAUGUCUAAGAUGGUGCGGUGGUGUGAAUGGAGCACCUACAAAUAGAAGCUAGAUGAUAAUUUGAAGAAAUUGGCUGAAUUGUCAUAAGAAGCCAAAGACGAGCUGCUGCAUUUUCCAAUAUAAACUUGGUAUAGAGUAUUUUAGACACAGUUUGCAAGAAUCAGAAGGUGGAAAAUAACUUGGAUGAGUCACUCAACUCAUGGAUAUUGGAAGCAAGGCACAAACCCAUCAUUGGGAUGCUUGAGGCUAUCAGAAUAAAGGUAAUGAAGAAGUUUGAGAAACAUGAAAAAGAUGUGAAGUCUUAGGAUACUAAAUGGAGUCCAAAAGCUAUUGAGAUGUACAAUGAAUACUUGAAAAUUUCUAAUGUGUGUGAAUUAAAUUUCAAUGAUGAUUAUGGGUAUGAGAUUAGUUAGGGAAAUGACAAACACAUUGUCAAUUUGCAAAAUAAGAGGUGUAGUUGUAGGGUAUGCAAACUUACUGGAAUACUUUGUCCCCAUGCAAUCAAGGCACUUCUUUAUAAGGAGAGUGAUCCUAGGUAAGAGAUCCACUGGUGGUACACAAAGGAGGCAUAUCUCUUGACUUAUCAUUCAAAGCUGGAACUAGUGCCUGGCCCUAAGUUCUAGAAAAUUGAUCUAGUAAAAGAAAUAGAACCACCCCCUUUGGUAACCCUGGUUGGCAGACCUGCAAGGACAAGGAAAAAAGAUAAAGAUGAAGCACUUUAGAGGCAAGCUGAGUGGGCUGGAACAAGGCGAGGUAGAGUUAUGACUUGUUCAAUUUGUGGACUUCCAGGACACAAUGCCAAGGGUUGUCAAAAGUUUCACAAAAUGAGUGGUGAAGGCACUUCUAAGUCUGGCCAGUUGAAGAUUAAGAAACAAAUGAAAGACAAACAACCAAUGAAGGGCAAGCAGUCAAUGAAGAGGUGAAGAACACUAAUUGAUGAAGAAUAUGUAGAACCAUGCCUCCCAGAUUCCUAGAUCAUGCAAUAGUUGAGGACGUGGCUUUGACAGCUCCACAGGCUAGUCAAGACAGCACGUCAACUCAAUGUCAUCUUCUCUUUGGCAAGUACUUUGAGUAUCGUGGUCUUGAAGUUGAAAAAGAUGUACCUUGAAAGCCAAGAAGUGUUUCAGAGUUCAAGUCUAAAAUAUUACAAAGAUAGAAACAAACAAAAUCAAUUGGUUCAAGACAAAUCAAGUUUCUUCAUGAUGCUAUAGGUUCAACUAAACCAAGUGAAUUGUAUGCACCAAAAGUGCUCUCGUGGAAUGAUAAUACAUCUAUUACCGGGAGAUAGUUGAAGAAAUUAAGAAUGGAUAAGCUUAAGACUAGAAAAGGUAAUGGCAAGGCACAACAGUGAAAAUGUAAUAUUGGCAUGUUUUGUGUAUUAAGACAAGGGAAUGGUCAAUAUUUGAUGGUGACAAUGGAUGUUCUUUUUUUUUUGUUAAAAUUAUAAACCUGUAUUUUUGUUGCAACUUUUUGGGAU
Capsicum annuum is the source of this 3285-nucleotide long non-coding RNA. RefSeq lists it as uncharacterized. The record is from RefSeq and is a predicted model, not a curated record. The transcript is spliced from 4 exons. Lineage: Eukaryota; Viridiplantae; Streptophyta; Magnoliopsida; Solanales; Solanaceae.